UACGGAGGGGGCUAGCGUUGUUCGGAAUUACUGGGCGUAAAGCGCGCGUAGGCGGACCUGCAAGUCGGGGGUGAAAGCCCGAGGCUCAACCUCGGAACUGCCUUCGAUACUGCGGGUCUCAAGUCCGGGAGAGGUGAGUGGAAUUCCUAGUGUAGAGGUGAAAUUCGUAGAUAUUAGGAAGAACACCAGUGGCGAAGGCGGCUCACUGGCCCGGUACUGACGCUGAGGCGCGAAAGCGUGGGGAGCAAACAGG
Molecule: ribosomal RNA, 253 nt
Filed under: uncultured bacterium
Lineage: Bacteria
Description: partial 16S ribosomal RNA
Rfam family: Bacterial small subunit ribosomal RNA
Source: RNAcentral